UACGGAGGGUGCAAGCGUUAUCCGGAUUCACUGGGUUUAAAGGGUGCGUAGGAGGGCAGGUAAGUCAGUGGUGAAAUCUCCGAGCUUAACUCGGAAACUGCCGUUGAUACUAUCUGUCUUGAAUAUUGUGGAGGUGAGCGGAACAUGUCAUGUAGCGGUGAAAUGCUUAGAUAUGACAUAGAACACCAAUUGCGAAGGCAGCUCGCUACACAUAUAUUGACUCUGAGGCACGAAAGCGUGGGGAUCAAACAGG
RNAcentral lists this ribosomal RNA (253 nucleotides) under uncultured bacterium. Its description in RNAcentral is "partial 16S ribosomal RNA". It matches the Rfam family "Bacterial small subunit ribosomal RNA", at positions 524 to 776 of the family's 1533-position model. The record is from RNAcentral.